Paramuricea clavata is the source of this 391-nucleotide non-coding RNA. Lineage: Eukaryota; Metazoa; Cnidaria; Anthozoa; Malacalcyonacea; Plexauridae. The record is from the annotation of a GenBank genome assembly.
UUUGACAGAAUUCUGAUGGUCAGAAAACAGCGUUUUAGUAUGUCGAAAUUUACAAUUUAGUGGUACUAAAUGAUAUAAAGAUUACAAAAAUGGCGAUAUAAAGAUUACAAAAAUCAUUGUGUUAAAUGAUGAGUGAAAAUGAGAUGCAAUUCUAAAGAACAUUCUCGUUUACUGGUAUUUUUUUGUGUGUUUUCGCACGUUGUUAAGAUUAUCAAUUAUGCAACGUGCCAUAAUAUAGGGGGGCUCAGCACGCUGGUCACAUUCAACAAAUUUUCUCCCAGGAUCGCAGGCUCAUAUUGUCAGUGGACUUGCGGUGUAAAAUUGAAACUUUUGCAUUUUUCAAAGAACUGGCCACUUUCUGUAAGAUGUCCGCUGUCAAUACGAACCCGCA